AGAAAACAUGUUUUAAUUUAAAACUUUUUUAGAAGCUGUUGUGUCUAUGCAAUAUUCAAAAAUUGCAACAGUAUCUAUAUGGCCAGGGUUUCAAUGUGAUCCAGGCUUUAAAUGGGAACUGUCACUUCUCAUCUUCUUGCAUUUGGCCACCUCCAUCUUAGCCUUCUAUCAGUCAUAGUAUUAGCUCUGUCCUAGCAGUAAAAGGGAAACUAUAGUGCUAGGAAAACCAAGUUUUUUUUCUAGCACUAUAAUGACC
Pelobates cultripes (western spadefoot toad) is the source of this 256-nucleotide non-coding RNA. NCBI's taxonomy places the organism in Eukaryota, Metazoa, Chordata, Amphibia, Anura, Pelobatidae. The record is from the annotation of a GenBank genome assembly.